CCUACGGGCGGCAGCAGUGGGGAAUAUUGCGCAAUGGGCGAAAGCCUGACGCAGCGACGCCGCGUGAGGGAUGAAGGUCUUCGGAGCGUAAACCUCUGUCAGCAGGGAAGCACGGUCACUGUGCUAAUCAGCAGUGAAUUGACGGUACCUGUCGAAUAAGCCACGGCUAACUACGUGCCAGCAGCCGCGGUAAUACGUAGGUGGCAAGCGUUGUCCGGAUUUACUGGGGGUAAAGGGCGUGUAGCCGGGCUGACAACUCAGAUGUGAAAUCCGGGGGCUCAACCCCCGAACUGCAUUUGAAACUGGUGGUCUUGAGUAUCGGAGAGGCAGGCGGAAUUCCUGGUGUAGCGGUGAAAUGCGUAGAUAUUAGGAGGAACACCAGUGGCGAAGGCGGCCUGCUGGACGACAACUGACGGUGAGGCGCGAAAGCGUGGGGAGCAAACAGGAUUAGAUACCCCUGUAGUC
Molecule: ribosomal RNA, 465 nt
Filed under: uncultured bacterium
Lineage: Bacteria
Description: partial 16S ribosomal RNA
Rfam family: Bacterial small subunit ribosomal RNA
Source: RNAcentral